RNAcentral lists this ribosomal RNA (418 nucleotides) under uncultured bacterium. Its description in RNAcentral is "bacterial SSU rRNA". It matches the Rfam family "Bacterial small subunit ribosomal RNA", at positions 358 to 773 of the family's 1533-position model. The record is from RNAcentral.
GGAAUAUUGGUCAAUGGGCGCAAGCCUGAACCAGCCAUGCCGCGUGCAGGAUGAAGCAUCUAUGGUGUGUAAACUGCUUUUAUACAGGAAGAAACACUCGGACGUGUCCGAGCUUGACGGUACUGUAGGAAUAAGGAUCGGCUAACUCCGUGCCAGCAGCCGCAGGAAUACGGAGGAUCCAAGCGUUAUCCGGAAUCAUUGGGUUUAAAGGGUCCGUAGGCGGCCUUGUAAGUCAGUGGUGAAAUCUCCCCGCUCAACGGGGAAACGGCCAUUGAUACUGCAGGGCUUGAAUUAUUGGGAAGUAACUAGAAUAUGUAGUGUAGCGGUGAAAUGCUUAGAUAUUACAUGGAAUACCAAUUGCGAAGGCAGGUUACUAUCAAUACAUUGACGCUGAUGGACGAAAGCGUGGGUAGCGAAC